GACGAACGCUGGCGGCGUGCUUAACACAUGCAAGUCGAACGGAAAGGCCCUGCUUUUGUGGGGUGCUCGAGUGGCGAACGGGUGAGUAACACGUGAGUAACCUGCCCUUGACUUUGGGAUAACUUCAGGAAACUGGGGCUAAUACCGGAUAGGAGCUCCUGCUGCAUGGUGGGGGUUGGAAAGUUUCGGCGUUUGGGGAUGGACUCGCGGCUUAUCAGCUUGUUGGUGAGGUAGUGUCUUACCAAGGCUUUGACGGGUAGCCGGCCUGAGAGGGUGACCGGGCACAUUGGGACUGAGAUACGGCCCAGACUCCUACGGGCGGCAGCAGUGGGGAAUAUUGCACAAUGGGCGGAAGCAUGAUGCAGCAACGCCGCGUGCGGGAUGACGGCCUUCGGGUUGUAAACCGCUUUCGCCUGUGACGAAGCGUGAGUGACGGUAAUGGGUAAAGAAGCACCGGCUAACUACGUG
This 468-nucleotide ribosomal RNA is filed under the name uncultured bacterium. Its description in RNAcentral is "partial 16S ribosomal RNA". It matches the Rfam family "Bacterial small subunit ribosomal RNA", at positions 28 to 507 of the family's 1533-position model. The record is from RNAcentral.